Molecule: long non-coding RNA, 113 nt
Organism: Strongylocentrotus purpuratus (purple sea urchin)
Lineage: Eukaryota; Metazoa; Echinodermata; Echinoidea; Camarodonta; Strongylocentrotidae
Exons: 3
Source: RefSeq, a predicted model, not a curated record
CAUAAUAUAUCAAAAUUGUAGAGAACGACUUCUCCAUCACCGGCACCGUACUUCAAUGGAUUCGCUCCUAUCUCAUGCACCGAACUCAGAAGGUGAUCAUCAAUGACACCAAC